This 797-nucleotide ribosomal RNA is filed under the name uncultured bacterium. RNAcentral describes it as "bacterial SSU rRNA". It matches the Rfam family "Bacterial small subunit ribosomal RNA", at positions 8 to 794 of the family's 1533-position model. The record is from RNAcentral.
AGAGUUUGAUCAUGGCUCAGAUUGAACGCUGGCGGCAUGCCUAACACAUGCAAGUCGAACGGCAGCACGGCAGUAGCAAUACUGUGGGUGGCGAGUGGCGGACGGGUGAGGAAUACGUCGGAAUCUGCCCAGUCGUGGGGGAUAACGUAGCGAAAGCUACGCUAAUACCGCAUACGACCUGAGGGUGAAAGCGGGGGAUCGCAAGACCUCGCGCGAUUGGAGCGGCCGAUGGCAGAUUAGGUAGUUGGUGGGGUAAAGGCCUACCAAGCCUGCGAUCUGUAGCUGGUCUGAGAGGACGACCAGCCACACUGGGACUGAGACACGGCCCAGACUCCUACGGGAGGCAGCAGUGGGGAAUUUUGGACAAUGGGCGAAAGCCUGAUCCAGCCAUACCGCGUGCGGGAAGAAGGCCUUCGGGUUGUAAACCGCUUUUGUCAGGGAAGAAAUCUUCUGGGCUAAUACCUCGGGAGGAUGACGGUACCUGAAGAAUAAGCACCGGCUAACUACGUGCCAGCAGCCGCGGUAAUACGUAGGGCGCAAGCGUUAAUCGGAAUUACUGGGCGUAAAGCGUGCGCAGGCGGUUCCAUAAGACAGAUGUGAAAUCCCCGGGCUCAACCUGGGAACUGCAUUUGUGACUGUGGAGCUAGAGUACGGUAGAGGGGGAUGGAAUUCCGCGUGUAGCAGUGAAAUGCGUAGAUAUGCGGAGGAACACCAAUGGCGAAGGCAAUCCCCUGGACCUGUACUGACGCUCAUGCACGAAAGCGUGGGGAGCAAACAGGAUUAGAUACCCCGGUAGU